AGGGGCGGCCAGGCCAGGCGGAAGCUGUUGGACGUCACCUCGGAGGCGUAGAGCUGCUGUGGCUGCAUUGCAUCUGUGGAAGGCUCAGCUGCCAAGGGCCACUAGGGGUCAGAUGUCCCUGGGGAAGACUUUGGGGGAGGACCCUCUACCCCUUCCCAGUCCACAGACCCACACCUUCCUGCUCAGGGUAGGUGAGUAACCCAAAGGCAGAGAUUUGGUAAAAAUCCUGGGGUGGUGGCACUUUUCUGUGGCUACAGCAAGCCUAACCAGCCAUCAGGCCCCUCAUCUCCAGCCCUUCCCCCUUUGAGGCUUGGCUGAGGGGGUGAUCCAGGAAAAGGCCCCUGGAUGCUGCCCCACCCUGCGGCAGACUUCCUGGUCUGGCUUCAUCCCCGGCUGUUCUCACAACACACUUGCUGUACAAACCAACACAGGUCCUUCCGUGGCUGUCCUCACCCAGAACAGCCCAGGGGUCUGAGCAUAUGAGGGCACCUGGUUGGUUUGUGUUCCUGAAGGUGCAUGGAGAAACGAAGAGUCAUCUGCCUCCCAUUCCCACCUUGGGGCACCAAGCACUUGAGUUCUGAGGGCUCUCCUCCCACCUACCAAGAAUGGAGCCCCGCAGCUCUUGGGCAAUGAUGUGCAGAUCAUCCACAUCAACGAAGUGCAGAUGCUUCUGAGCAGGGGCUGAGGCAGCUGCAGACAGCUCUAGCAGGUUGCCACGGCCCGUGCUGACAAUGAAGACUGUGACGCCCUGGUCCUUGAGCUCCU
Molecule: non-coding RNA, 765 nt
Organism: Marmota flaviventris (yellow-bellied marmot)
Lineage: Eukaryota; Metazoa; Chordata; Mammalia; Rodentia; Sciuridae
Source: RefSeq, a predicted model, not a curated record